Molecule: ribosomal RNA, 465 nt
Filed under: Vreelandella stevensii
Lineage: Bacteria; Pseudomonadati; Pseudomonadota; Gammaproteobacteria; Oceanospirillales; Halomonadaceae
Description: partial 16S ribosomal RNA
Rfam family: Bacterial small subunit ribosomal RNA
Source: RNAcentral
CCUACGGGCGGCUGCAGUGGGGAAUGUUGGACAAUGGGCGAAAGCCUGAUCCAGCCAUGCCGCGUGUGUGAAGAAGGCCUUCGGGUUGUAAAGCACUUUCAGUGGGGAAGAAAGCCUUGGGGCUAAUACCCUCGAGGAAGGACAUCACCCACAGAAGAAGCACCGGCUAACUCCGUGCCAGCAGCCGCGGUAAUACGGAGGGUGCGAGCGUUAAUCGGAAUUACUGGGCGUAAAGCGCGCGUAGGCGGUCUGAUAAGCCGGUUGUGAAAGCCCCGGGCUCAACCUGGGAACGGCAUCCGGAACUGUCAGGCUAGAGUGCAGGAGAGGAAGGUAGAAUUCCCGGUGUAGCGGUGAAAUGCGUAGAGAUCGGGAGGAAUACCAGUGGCGAAGGCGGCCUUCUGGACUGACACUGACGCUGAGGUGCGAAAGCGUGGGUAGCAAACAGGAUUAGAUACCCCUGUAGUC